RNA transcript from Oncorhynchus kisutch (coho salmon), 3149 nucleotides. It is a transcript of the gene named hsFATP2a_ACSVL_like domain-containing protein, with no coding region annotated. The transcript is spliced from 9 exons. The record is from RefSeq and is a predicted model, not a curated record. The annotation marks the transcript as partial. NCBI's taxonomy places the organism in Eukaryota, Metazoa, Chordata, Actinopteri, Salmoniformes, Salmonidae.
AGGGCUGCUUGUUAUGCGAGGUCGGGAUUUCGGAUUGAACUUUGCCACCCAUUUGUUACUUUAUAACGUUCCGUUUUUUGGAGGUAGUUCUACAACCUUCUAAUUCUCAGCGGCACAUGCGUCUGUAAACCCGCAGCUACAAAAUGUACAUUUGGUUUACAAUCAUAGCCGGAUUGGCUGUUUUGCCCUUUCUUCUGAAAACGUUAUUCGAUCCAUACUUUGGCCAAGACUGUUCAUAUAUCUUCAGAGCAAUCAAACUUGGAAUCAGGCUGCAAAAAUACAAAAAGAAAAAUCCUUUCUAUAGCAUUUUGGACUGCUUUUUGGACACGGUGAAGAAACAACCGAAUAAAACGUUUAUGCAUUUUGAGGGGACAUCCCAUUCUUACAUCGAGGUGGAUAAGCAGAGUAACAAGGUUGCCAGAGCAUUGAAGACUCACGCUAAUCUAAAAGAGGGGGACACGGUAGCUCUCUUUAUGGGGAACGAACCCUCUUACGCGUGGAUUUGGCUGGGCCUGGCCAAACUGGGCUGUGCAACCGCUCUGCUAAACUUCAACAUACGGUCAAAAUCUCUGCUACACUGUUUCUCAUGCUGUGGGGCCAAAGUGAUCAUCGCGGCGGCAGAGCUGAAAGAGGCAGUGGAGGAGGUUCUCCCUACACUAAAACAGCAGGGUAUCUCUGUGUACCUCUUGUCAGAGGAGUGCAGUGUAGAAGGCAUCAACCCCCUCUCAGAACAUAUCACCCAGGCCUCAGACACUCCCCUGUCAGCUGACCUCAGGGCCAACAUCACCAGCAAGAGCCCUGCGCUCUACAUCUACACCUCAGGAACCACUGGUCUACCUAAAGCGGCCCUGGUGACCCAGGAGAGGGUGUGGACUGCGUCCUUUAUCCAAGCCGUCUCAGGCGUGACGUCGGAGGAUGUGUUCUAUAUCAACCUGCCUCUCUAUCACAGCGCAGGCUUCCUCAUUGGACUCGCUGGGGCCAUCGAGAGGGGCAUAACAGUUGUUCUGAGGAGAAAGUUUUCAGCGUCUCAGUUCUGGGAGGACUGUAGGAAACAUCAUGUAACAGUGAUGCAGUACAUCGGAGAGACCAUGAGAUACCUCUGCAACACACCCAUGAAAGACAACGAGAAGGACCAUAAAGUUCGUAUUGCCAUCGGCAACGGGGUCCGUUCAGACAUCUGGAGAGAGUUUCUGAAUCGUUUUGGAGACGUAGCUGUCAGGGAACUGUACGCUGCCACCGAGGGCAACAUCGGCUUCAUCAACUACACCAGCAAGAUCGGAGUGGUUGGACGAGUCAACUUUCUCCACAGGAGACUGUUCCCCUAUACUUUGAUCAAAUUUGACAUUGAGAAGGAGGAACCUGUUAGGAACUCCAAGGGUCUGUGUAUCCAAGCAAUGAAAGGUGAGGCUGGACUUUUGGUUGGAAAGAUAACCAAGAGAUCUCCCUUUGUUGGUUACGCUGGUAACGACCAGCAGACGGAGAAGAAGAGACUGAGAGACGUUUUACAGAAAGGUGACCUGUACUUCAACACUGGAGACCUGUUGAGGAUCGAUGAACAAAACUUUGUUCAGUUUCAGGAUCGGGUUGGUGACACUUUCAGGUACGCAAUACGGUUGACAAAAUUCCCAGGUUUUCCAGAAAUGCCAGUUGGAAAAUCUGAAGGAAAUAAUCUGGAAAACCUGGGAAUUUUGGUUAAAGGUAUCAGAAUUUUCACACCCUACACAGUAUGUCACUCAGGGUUUGAAUUACACAUCUCUUGGGGCUGCAAAACAUCUCUUGGGGUUGCAAAACAUCUCUUGGGGUUGCAAAACAUCUCUUGGGGUUGCAAAACAUCUCUUGGGGUUGCAAAACAUCUCUUGGGGUUGCAAAACAUCUCUUGGGGUUGCAAAACAUCUCUUGGGGCUGCAAAACAUCUCUUGGGGCUGCAAAACAUCUCUUGGGGCUGCAAAACAUCUCUUGGGGCUGCAAAACAUCUCUUGGGGCUGCAAAACAUCUCUUGGGGCUGCAAAACAUCUCUUGGGGCUGCAAAACAUCUCUUGGGGCUGCAAAACAUCUCUUGGGGCUGCAAAACAUCUCUUGGGGCUGCAAAACAUCUCUUGGGGUUACAAAACAUCUCUUGGGGUUGCAAAACAUCUCUUGGGGUUGCAAAACAUCUCUUGGGGUUGCAAAACAUCUCUUGGGGUUGCAAAACAUCUCUUGGGGCUGCAAAACAUCUCUUGACCAACAUGGAAAUGUUUUUUGUUAUUUCAGGUGGAAAGGCGAGAAUGUUGCUACAACUGAAGUGGCAGAUAUCCUCACAAUGGUGGACUGCAUCGAGGAGGCUAAUGUAUAUGGCGUGAAAGUUGAAGGUCACGAGGGGAGGAUUGGGAUGGCUGCUGUAAAGGUAGAAGAAGGGAAAGAGUUUGACGGCGCUAGCACCUUCAGCCAAGUAGCCAGCUACCUCCCUGCUUACGCAAGACCGCGUUUCAUUAGAAUACAGACCUCCUUCGAGAUGACGGGAACAUUUAAGAUGAAGAAAGUGACGUUGGUGGAAGAGGGCUUCAACCCAGCUGUGGUCCAAGAUCCUCUGUUCUUCUUAGAUCCAGCUAAGAAAACAUACGUACCACUCACCGAAGAGAUAUACUCCUCCAUAAACACCAGAGAAAUUAAGUUAUAAAAUAAUCAUGGUAGCCAAUUAAUGUACAAAAUCUGCAUUAAUUAUUAAAUGUCUAAUGUUUAGACCUGGUUUCAAAUACUAUUUGAUUAUUUCAUAUACUUUUUCUCUUUGCAUUGAGCUUGCCUGGGUUAACGGACCAAUAGAAUAAUCCUAAAACUGCAAACCCCACCCGGCAUUUGAAAUGAUUUCCAAUAGUAUUUGGAGCAAGGUCUGCUGUUAACAGAUGACACGGGGGAAUAAUAUGGCAUAAUGAUUCUGUAGACUAACCCAUUGUCUUUGUCUACUAAUCUCAGGGAAUAGAUUUGAAUUAUAUUUUGUAACAAACCUGAUCAUGUUUAAAAUGAUGUAUUUUUGGUCUUAACCAGACUUUAUAUUGUUUACAGUAUAUUGUAGAGGGUACUAGCAUCUGAAGGUGCUUGAAAACAAACUUGAUAUUGAUAUAGUAUAUUGAUUGUACUUUUUGAAUACUUCAUAAAACUUCUAUGAACCCAAA